RNAcentral lists this long non-coding RNA (1034 nucleotides) under Homo sapiens (human). RNAcentral's name for it is "HSALNT0152286". Lineage: Eukaryota; Metazoa; Chordata; Mammalia; Primates; Hominidae. The record is from RNAcentral.
GUCACCGGCAGGCGGCGCUGCGGUGCGCGAGGCCUCGCACCUGCACGGGAAGCAGCGGAGAGGACGCAGGGCAGCAGGACUCCCUGGUCAGGGCCCCUGGGGCAGAUGCCGGAUUUGAGUUCUGACACUGUCACUUGCCAGCCGGCGACCUUGGGCAGGUGACUGUCAAGCGUCAGUGUUCCAUCUGCGAAAUGGAUGCAGGAGGCACGCAGAGAAGAGUUGAUGUUGGUGAGGUGCUGAGGGAGGCGGGGCCGCAGGGGCAGGGGGCGAGCCCUCCUUCAGCCCUCCCCCUAAGGGACAGGAGCUUUGUAGAGGAGGGCCAAGAGGUCAGUGCUACAGUAACAGAACCUUUGGUCCAGAGCCUGGGAUGUUGCCUUUUGCCCACUGGAAUUCCCAUCUUGGAAGAGUAAGCGCAGGGGAUUGUCCAGACAGCCAGGAGGCCAGCGAAGCCAAGUCCUUCAGUACAGCCUGGGAGCCUCCAGGAAGCUGUUAGGAGUUGCCAUGAUGGGUGCAUUUGGACUCACAGAAUCUGCCUUCCAAUCUCAGUGCUGCUUCUACUCCUUUGCUACCUUAGGUCUUUGAAGACAGGUCCAUACCUUGGGUGUUUGUAUUUGGACAACCACAGACAUUGCCAAGAAAUGUAUCUGUUCUACUUGCACACCUUCACCACCUGGAUGCUGCUUGAGGACACAGAUCUGGUCCAUCAGAUUUCUCUCUGUACUCCUCUCUAUAUUUCGCCAUAUUUGAUAUAGACCCAUCAAUGGCUCCCUAGAAUAAAAUCUCAACUCUUCACUGUGCCCACAGCCCCAGUGACCUUGCCACUUCCAUCAGAGCCCUCACACCAGUGCCCAGACAUACAGACUGACCUCCUGACCAUCCCCCAGAUGUGCUAAGGCCGGUUCUGCUUCUGGACUUCUGAACAGACAUGUUUGGUAAACCCAAACAUUUCAGAUGGUGAAUAGCUCUGAAAGCAAAGUAAGACAGGGUAGGGCAGGAAGGACUUCCAGCAAAGUCACCCCAGGCUGGCCCCUUUC